This 516-nucleotide long non-coding RNA is filed under the name Gallus gallus (chicken). Lineage: Eukaryota; Metazoa; Chordata; Aves; Galliformes; Phasianidae. The record is from RNAcentral.
CUUUGUAAAGUAUCUUGUAACCCAGGAUGAGACCAUUUUGCUCUGACUCGGGGACUGCAGACCAGGUCAGAAGGAUCUGGGUUGAGCUCACGGCUUCAGCAGACACGUUCUCAGGAGGAGCAGAGGGAACAGACUCCCGCGUACGACCUCGCACCACUUCGCUCCACGGUCCUGCCCCGAUGGCGUUGAAGGCCUGGAUCUGCAGCUCGUACUCCGUCCACUCCUCCAGGUCCUCGAUGGUGCACUCCCUUUCCAGCCGGUCGCUGAUGACCUUCAGCAGGGCGGAAGGCUGCAGAUCCACGCGCCAGAACUUGAUGCGGUACCCCACGGACUCUGGGUUGCCAUUGUACUGCGUGUCGGGCAGGGGCACCCAGCGCAUCCGCAGGCUGCUCUCGCUGGCCGUGCGCACGCUUACGCUGCCGGGGGCCACGUCUGGAGGGGCUUGCAGGGUCUGGAUGACACGUGAGGGCUGGCUCAGAGGGCUGGCACCCACCACGUUCACCUGCCGCAUCCGGA